RNAcentral lists this unclassified non-coding RNA (164 nucleotides) under uncultured Saccharomycetales. Its description in RNAcentral is "sequence contains ITS2". Lineage: Eukaryota; Fungi; Ascomycota; Saccharomycetes. The record is from RNAcentral.
CUCUCUCCUUAUCCAAGGGUUUUGUUGUUUAUCUCUCUUUAACGGAGAGUACAAUGAAAGGAAAUGGCAGUGCUUCGGAGCUUUUGCUUAUUAAGUGUUUUAGGUCUAACCAACUACACUUUUCAAAGCAGCUCUAGCAAGUUGGCUUGAUAACUUUUAAUCAA